UCCUGGUUAGCCCAGUUAGUAGAGCGCUCCAUUGGAAAUGUAGAGGUCCCUGGUUCGAUACCAGGACCAGGUG
This is a non-coding RNA of Ixodes scapularis (black-legged tick), 73 nucleotides long. The record is from Rfam. NCBI's taxonomy places the organism in Eukaryota, Metazoa, Arthropoda, Arachnida, Ixodida, Ixodidae.